GACGGUUUCGGCUGUCACUUACAGAUGGACCCGCGGCGCAUUAGCUAGUUGGUGAGGUAACGGCUCACCAAGGCGACGAUGCGUAGCCGACCUGAGAGGGUGAUCGGCCACACUGGGACUGAGACACGGCCCAGACUCCUACGGGAGGCAGCAGUAGGGAAUCUUCCGCAAUGGACGAAAGUCUGACGGAGCAACGCCGCGUGAGUGAUGAAGGUUUUCGGAUCGUAAAGCUCUGUUGUUAGGGAAGAACAAGUGCAAGAGUAACUGCUUGCACCUUGACGGUACCUAACCAGAAAGCCACGGCUAACUACGUGCCAGCAGCCGCGGUAAUACGUAGGUGGCAAGCGUUGUCCGGAAUUAUUGGGCGUAAAGGGCUCGCAGGCGGUUUCUUAAGUCUGAUGUGAAAGCCCCCGGCUCAACCGGGGAGGGUCAUUGGAAACUGGGAAACUUGAGUGCAGAAGAGGAGAGUGGAAUUCCACGUGUAGCGGUGAAAUGCGUAGAGAUGUGGAGGAACACCAGUGGCGAAGGCGACUCUCUGGUCUGUAACUGACGCUG
This 555-nucleotide ribosomal RNA is filed under the name Bacillus pumilus. RNAcentral's name for it is "bacterial SSU rRNA". It matches the Rfam family "Bacterial small subunit ribosomal RNA", at positions 202 to 748 of the family's 1533-position model. Lineage: Bacteria; Bacillati; Bacillota; Bacilli; Caryophanales; Bacillaceae. The record is from RNAcentral.